GAUUCAUAUGAUGAGAUUGGAUAUAAAAUUCUCACGACGGUCGUCUGAUUUUAGUGAUGCACCCGAUCCUUAAUACUCGGAUGAUA
Arabis alpina (gray rockcress) is the source of this 86-nucleotide small nucleolar RNA. It matches the Rfam family "Small nucleolar RNA Z161/Z228". Rfam says of the family: Z161 and Z228 are members of the C/D class of snoRNA which contain the C (UGAUGA) and D (CUGA) box motifs. Most of the members of the box C/D family function in directing site-specific 2'-O-methylation of substrate RNAs. The record is from Rfam. Lineage: Eukaryota; Viridiplantae; Streptophyta; Magnoliopsida; Brassicales; Brassicaceae.